UGCCAGCCGCCGCGGUAAUACGUAGGUCCAGAGCGUUGUCCGGAUUUAUUGGGCGUAAAGCGAGCGUAGGCGGUUAGAUAAGUCUGAAGUUAAAGGCUGUGGCUUAACCAUAGUACGCUUUGGAAACUGUUUAACUUGAGUGCAGAAGGGGAGAGUGGAAUUCCAUGUGUAGCGGUGAAAUGCGUAGAUAUAUGGAGGAACACCGGUGGCGAAAGCGGCUCUCUGGUCUGUAACUUACGCUGAUGCUCGCAAGCGUGGGGCGCAAACAGCAUUAGAUA
RNAcentral lists this ribosomal RNA (278 nucleotides) under uncultured bacterium. RNAcentral's name for it is "partial 16S ribosomal RNA". It matches the Rfam family "Bacterial small subunit ribosomal RNA", at positions 506 to 784 of the family's 1533-position model. The record is from RNAcentral.